Paramuricea clavata is the source of this 310-nucleotide non-coding RNA. NCBI's taxonomy places the organism in Eukaryota, Metazoa, Cnidaria, Anthozoa, Malacalcyonacea, Plexauridae. The record is from the annotation of a GenBank genome assembly.
UCCCUUAACAGACUCUUUUCACAUGAGUCCACACAUGAGUUCAUUGUGAGAAUCAAACCCAUGAUUUCAGAGGUGAAAUGCGCUUGUUCUGCCAUGACUGCGCCACCGAAGAAGCACCAAUUAAAAAGUCAAAGUUUUUGUUUACCAUGCAACCUCAAAUAUCAAAUAAAAUAUAUCCGAUACCUACCCCUGACCAAAAUAUUUACAAAAGGAUGCUAUUAAUUCAGUUUUCACACACGUCCUUUACAGCACUUCUGUGACAUGACUGUCAUGGUGACACUAUUUGCCUCCUGAUAAGUUGGAAAAUGAU